GCACCUCUGCGGUGUUCGUGAGCGGCUGGGUAUUAUCCUUGAGCCUAAUGAACUACCCCGGGAGCCACUCUGCAGUGAUGUUGUGCAUGUCCGCCACGUAGCGGAAAGCCUUGAUUCACUGCGACGGCACCCACUUGAACCGCUGGUUCAAGGUCGAAAGUCGCCACGGCAUUCGCGGAGCGUGU
RNAcentral lists this non-coding RNA (185 nucleotides) under Ectothiorhodospira marina. Its description in RNAcentral is "6S / SsrS RNA". It matches the Rfam family "6S / SsrS RNA". From Rfam's summary of the family: E. coli 6S RNA was the first non coding RNA to be sequenced, but its function was unknown until recently. RNAcentral also lists the same sequence under 3 other names. Lineage: Bacteria; Pseudomonadati; Pseudomonadota; Gammaproteobacteria; Chromatiales; Ectothiorhodospiraceae. The record is from Rfam by way of RNAcentral.